RNAcentral lists this ribosomal RNA (450 nucleotides) under uncultured bacterium. Its description in RNAcentral is "bacterial SSU rRNA". It matches the Rfam family "Bacterial small subunit ribosomal RNA", at positions 329 to 794 of the family's 1533-position model. The record is from RNAcentral.
GGCCAGACUCCUACGGGAGGCAGCAGUGGGGAAUAUUGGGCAAUGGGCGCAAGCCUGACCCAGCAACGCCGCGUGAAGGAAGAAGGCUUUCGGGUUGUAAACUUCUUUUAAGAGGGAAGAGUAGAAGACGGUACCUCUUGAAUAAGCCACGACUAACUACGUGCCAGCAGCCGCGGUAAUACGUAGGUGGCAAGCGUUGUCCGGAUUUACUGGGUGUAAAGGGCGUGUAGCCGGGCCGGCAAGUCAGAUGUGAAAUCCCGAGGCUCAACCUUGGAACUGCAUUUGAAACUGUUGGUCUUGAGUAUCGGAGAGGCAGGCGGAAUUCCUAGUGUAGCGGUGAAAUGCGUAGAUAUUAGGAGGAACACCAGUGGCGAAGGCGGCUUACUGGACUGUAACUGACGUUGAGGCUCGAAAGCGUGGGGAGCAAACAGGAUUAGAUACCCCGGUACC